This 1280-nucleotide ribosomal RNA is filed under the name Marinococcus sp. HL5. RNAcentral's name for it is "bacterial SSU rRNA". It matches the Rfam family "Bacterial small subunit ribosomal RNA", at positions 36 to 1269 of the family's 1533-position model. Lineage: Bacteria; Bacillati; Bacillota; Bacilli; Caryophanales; Bacillaceae. The record is from RNAcentral.
CUGCAGUGCGGGCGUGCUAAUACAUGCAAGUCGAGCGCGGGAAGCCGGCGGACUCCUUCGGGAGGAAACCGGUGGAACGAGCGGCGGACGGGUGAGUAACACGUGGGCAACCUGCCGGACUGAUGGGAAUAACCCCGGGAAACCGGGGCUAAUGCCCAAUACGCCCUGACCUCGCCUGAGGUCAGCGGCAAAGCAGGGAUCUUCGGAUCCUUGCACAGUCCGAUGGGCCCGCGGCGCAUUAGCUAGUUGGAGAGGUAAGGGCUCCCCAAGGCGACGAUGCGUAGCCGACCUGAGAGGGUGAUCGGCCACACUGGGACUGAGACACGGCCCAGACUCCUACGGGAGGCAGCAGUAGGGAAUCAUCCGCAAUGGGCGAAAGCCUGACGGUGCAACGCCGCGUGAGUGAUGAAGGUUUUCGGAUCGUAAAGCUCUGUUGACAGGGAAGAACCCACGCCAGUCGAACAGGCUGGCGUGCUGACGGUACCUGUCCAGAAAGCCCCGGCUAACUACGUGCCAGCAGCCGCGGUAAUACGUAGGGGGCAAGCGUUGUCCGGAAUUAUUGGGCGUAAAGGGCACGCAGGCGGUUUCGUCAGUCCGAUGUGACAGGCCACGGCUCAACCGUGGAAGGCCAUUGGAAACUGCGAAACUUGAGGACAGAAGAGGAGAGUGGAAUUCCACGUGUAGCGGUGAAAUGCGUAGAUAUGUGGAGGAACACCAGUGGCGAAGGCGACUCUCUGGUCUGUACCUGACGCUGAGGUGCGAAAGCAUGGGGAGCAAACAGGAUUAGAUACCCUGGUAGUCCAUGCCGUAAACGCUGAGUGCUAGGUGUUAGGGGUUUCGAUACCCGUAGUGCCGAAGCUAACGCAUUAAGCACUCCGCCUGGGGAGUACGACCGCAAGGUUGAAACUCAAAGGAAUUGACGGGGCCCGCACAAGCGGUGGAGCAUGUGGUUUAAUUCGACGCAACGCGAAGAACCUUACCAGAUCUUGACAUCUUCCGCUACGCCUCGAGAGAGCGGUUCCCCUUUCGGGGGACGGAAUGACAGUGGUGCAUGGUUGUCGUCAGCCCGUGUCGUGAGAUGUUGGGUUUAAGUCCCGCAACGAGCGCCACCCCUUAAUCUUAGUGCCAGCCAUUCAGUUGGGCACUCUAGGUGACUGCCGGUGACCAACUCGGAGGAGUUGGGAAUGAACGUCCAAAUUCAUUCAUGGCCCUUUAGAUCUGCUAACACACUUGCUCACAUGGAAUGGUUACACUGUGAACCGGCAACCCCCGUCAGAGGU